Molecule: non-coding RNA, 84 nt
Organism: Ostertagia ostertagi
Lineage: Eukaryota; Metazoa; Nematoda; Chromadorea; Rhabditida; Trichostrongylidae
Source: the annotation of a GenBank genome assembly
GUCGGUGUGCCCGAGUGGUCGAAGGGAGCGGAUUGCAAAUCCGCAUGCGUCAUGCACACGCAGGUCCGAAUCCUGUCGCCGACU